Molecule: ribosomal RNA, 445 nt
Filed under: uncultured bacterium
Lineage: Bacteria
Description: partial 16S ribosomal RNA
Rfam family: Bacterial small subunit ribosomal RNA
Source: RNAcentral
GUGAGGAAUAUUGGUCAAUGGACGAGAGUCUGAACCAGCCAAGUCGCGUGAAGGAAGACGGUUCUAUGAAUUGUAAACUUCUUUUGUGCAGGAAUAAAGUGGGUUACGUGUAACCUUUUGUAUGUACUGUACGAAUAAGGAUCGGCUAACUCCGUGCCAGCAGCCGCGGUAAUACGGAGGAUCCGAGCGUUAUCCGGAUUUAUUGGGUUUAAAGGGUGCGUAGGUGGAUUGAUAAGUCAGCGGUGAAAGUUUGCAGCUUAACUGUAAAAUUGCCGUUGAAACUGUCGGUCUUGAGUGCAAAUGAGGUAGGCGGAAUGUGUUGUGUAGCGGUGAAAUGCUUAGAUAUUACAUGGAAUACCAAUUGCGAAGGCAGGUUACUACUUGUGGAUUGACGCUGAUGGACGAAAGCGUGGGGAGCGAACAGGAUUAGAUACCCCGGUAGUCC